Molecule: transfer RNA, 91 nt
Filed under: Paenibacillus allorhizosphaerae
Lineage: Bacteria; Bacillati; Bacillota; Bacilli; Caryophanales; Paenibacillaceae
Description: Paenibacillus sp. JJ-447 tRNA-Ser
Rfam family: tRNA
About the family: Transfer RNA (tRNA) molecules are approximately 80 nucleotides in length.
Source: RNAcentral
GAAGAGGUGGCAGAGUCCGGUUUAUUGUAUUCGUCUUGAAAACGAAAGAGGUUAGCGGACUCCAAGGGUUCGAAUCCCUUUCUCUCCUCCA